Brachypodium distachyon (stiff brome) is the source of this 922-nucleotide RNA transcript. RefSeq lists it as uncharacterized. NCBI's taxonomy places the organism in Eukaryota, Viridiplantae, Streptophyta, Magnoliopsida, Poales, Poaceae. The record is from RefSeq and is a predicted model, not a curated record. The transcript is spliced from 3 exons.
GUUGCGCUCUUGCUCGGAAGCGCAAGCGCUGGGAGUGGGAGGGACCUCGACAUCGGGCUCGAGCAGGUCCUCGUCGACCGUCCUGGUUGGAGAUGGAUAUUGCCACUAAUGAGGGGAGCCCUCGGUCCACUGCCCGCCGUGGUGAGACAGAACUAGGGAGCUCCCAGUCCGCCUUCCUCCGCCGACCACAUGACGCCUCCAAUUCCAACAACGACUGUGGCGAUGAGGAGGCGUGUGUCGUCAGGAAAGACAUCCCCGAUUUGUGGGUAACUUUCCUGACCAACGAUAAGCGCCGGCGGAAGAUCGACGACGAGAGGAUCGCGUGGGCCAUAGAAGAGUCCAAGGAGCUCGAGAUAAGGUCAGCUGGCGCUCGGAGGCGGGGAUGCCGACCCUCAUCCCCAUCUCCUCCGACUCCGAGUGACCCAAGGAGCUCGCCGACGCUCGCCGACGACGCCGUGCCCAAAUCUGAAUUGAAGACUCCGAUGAGGUACCCCGUAUAAGCGUUUUAAGGCCCGGAGAUAUAUGCAAAAAACAAGUGAGAUAGCAAAUUUUUGUUGCAACAAUAUACAAGUUACAUAACUUGUCCGCACAGGUGCCCGCCCCAAACACUGGCCCAGGGCCGAAAAAGGUGAAUGUUGGACAAAGCUUUCUCUUGCCUAGUCAGUCAAAAUGCGCUCCACAAAUUUUUUGCUACGUAUGAUCUGGAGGAGGACAAUUCUAGGUGUAGUUUGAAAAUUUAUGGUUGUGUGCAUUAAUCAAUACAGAGACGGCGGGCCUCCCUUCUUUUCGAAUUUUUUUUGCUGGAGUCUGGAGAUGAUCUCGACAGAAUCGGUGAGGAAAUUCAUAGAUGGAGCUAUGAUAUUACGCUAUUCAGUUUACAAUGGGCAUGAUAUUACGCUAUUCAGUUUGUACAUACAUUAAU